Molecule: ribosomal RNA, 327 nt
Filed under: uncultured eukaryote
Lineage: Eukaryota
Description: partial 18S ribosomal RNA
Rfam family: Eukaryotic small subunit ribosomal RNA
Source: RNAcentral
CCCCUAGAUGUUCUGGGCCGCACGCGCGCUACACUGAACAGUUCAACAAGUCUUAACCUUGGCCGAUAGGUCUGGGUAAUCUUUGAACGCUGUUCGUGAUUGGGAUAGACCUUUGCAAUUAUGGGUCUUCAACGAGGAAUUCCUAGUAAACGCAAGUCAUCAGCUUGCAUUGAUUACGUCCCUGCCCUUUGUACACACCGCCCGUCGCACCUACCGAUUGAAUGGUCCGGUGAAGCGUUCGGACCGUGGCCUUUGGACGGUUCGCCGUCUGUUGGCUGCGGGAAGUUCGCUAAACCUUAUCAUUUAGAGGAAGGAGAAGUCGUAACA